CCCGAAGACGUCAUCAAAAAGUCCAGCUCUUAGGCGUGUCCGUUGAUGAUUGUACCGGCCGGUUUCAGUCUUUUCGUAUUUGUGUUGGUGGUAGAUUUGUAAUAUCACUUAUCACCGAAACAAAAAACUGCUGCAUACCACUUACAAGUGUAAUCAAGUCUGGUUGAUAAUCAGGUGUGAGGUGUACCUAGGUUACCGAGCAGAGGUCUGCACAAUGGCCUGCGGAGGUGGACCAAUGACCGAGAAGACUUGGCAUGAGCAUAUGCUUCAGCAACAGAAUGUUGCGGCCCACUCGUCUCCGUUCGCUGCGCCGGGUCACGUGUCGGCCGCCGGUCACUACGGCUACCAGCCGCCGGCUCAGAUGGACCGGCACCCAGCCGACAAGGAGAACGCCGCCAUGGACUUCGAGCACGGCAUGUGGCCAUCGGCGGCCGGCGGCCACGGCCCGCACAUCACGCCCGCAGCCGGGUACCUUGGCGUGCGCAAGCGCGGCAGGGAUGAGGUACUGUUCCAGGAUUUCAAACGAAGACGGCUUACAGGUGUUGUAUAAGGUCAGCGCGCGCGCCAAGUUCGGCUGGAUCGUCCGAGGUCAAUGACCUGACCUGACCUGAGCUUACCGCGCCGAGGUCACACCAGCCGCCCGGUUCGGCGGGCAGUAGAGCCGCUGUCAGCGGCCGGGGUGUCCGAGCAGCCGGCGCCGCCCGCUCCGGUCAACCCCGACCCGGCUCCCAUCGGGCACGGGGGCUGGCGGGCCGCCGGCUCUGCCACUCGCUGUCUGAUGCGCCACAUGAUAUGACUAGGAGAAAUUGACACCAAUGCGAAGCCGGCUUCUCGGGACGCGAUGGAGACCGAAUGUGAUCCGGAGAUGCCGGUGAAGCCAGUUGCCCAGGCGUCGAUAGCGACGUCUGCCGUGUCCGACCUGGAGCUCCGCUGUCGGCUACUGCGCGCACUGCACGGCGCCGAGCCUUACCACUGGGCGGGCAGUGCCGAGUGAACACUAGCAUCAAUCUCCUGCUCCCGCCGAGACGCCGCGCUUCGUUCCUGCGCCGGCGAUCGGCUCCACCUCGGCCGACGAGAUGCGUUCAGCGGUGGCCGCCUCGGCAUACUACGACCGGCUGUAUGUCGACUCCCACGUGGACAUGCUGAUGGAUGACCACGGCUGCUAAGAACCGAGGGUUAUGAGAGAACCACGCGCCGCAUUGAGCGGUGCUGCUGCAGACGGGGCACCAAGGCCUGGUUGUGGGACGAGUAAGGCUUGUGGUGGCUCGCACCCCUGACCGGACGUGAGAGACUCUCUUCGCCGUUCUGAUGUGAAGCACCAAGUGCCCAGACAGCUUCACUGCCUUUACCGGUGAUACAUUUCAUCUGUCUGCGUCAUUGUUUCUAAACAAAUGUGGGCGUGUGUUCUGUGUAGGUACUUUGCUUGAGGGAUCAGUUGCUUGUGCCAAGAGCUGGGAGCACCAGCAAUGCUUGAAAAAGAUCAUUACCUUCAUGUUGUUGUUUCUCUAUACCACUGUGUCAUAACUCUUGUUCUGUGCGUAUGCUUGGAUGUGCAUAAUAAGGAGUCUCACAAUCGGUACUAUCUCUGUUGCGGAUUUUCCAUUUGCAUCAUCUCUUCUGAUCUCGUUCGUCCUCACCCCGCUGGCUUGAUGAGUGGAAUCGUUUCAACAAGGUAUCGACUACUACUUUGUUUUGGGCGCGAAGAGGAGCGUCUUGACUUAAUGCUAAGUUUUAACUUUAGAGUGGGGAUAGGCAUAUAAGCUUCACUGGGUUCUUCAGAACACAAGCAUUUCGUGUUAUGCUUUUGUAGCGCUUGUAGUGAUGCUAGUUACACUGUACUUGUGUUAUGUUCGUAGGGUCUUUGUGUCCUAACCGAGUUGGCUGUACAUUUUAGCUGUAAGUUCGCUACCAUGCGUUCACGUUCAGUUUCAGAAGAGUUGUGAUAGUUCGGUCAAAGAAGUAAACGCGACUGUUUCUGAGAAACAUCUCUUCCACCUGACCUUUGUGUGCUGUUGGCCGGUCAUGGAUGUUCAGCCGGGAACAUCGUUGUAAUUGUGGACUUUUAUAGAUCCAUUGAAAUACAUAUGAAAACACCAGCCUUG
Molecule: RNA transcript, 2102 nt
Organism: Amphibalanus amphitrite
Lineage: Eukaryota; Metazoa; Arthropoda; Thecostraca; Balanomorpha; Balanidae
Exons: 7
Source: RefSeq, a predicted model, not a curated record